CAGGGCCUAUGCUGUUUUCCCAGGAUAUGUGAUGGUCUUUUAAAUGCAAUAAUCCAGGGUAGGGAUUUAGAACAGCUCUUGGCUCACGGAGCACACGAAUACUAGCUGUUAUUAUCACAUUUCCCCCCGUUUCUUCAUGAGUAACAGACCAAAGAAACUGGAUCUAGAUGAAAGCUACAAGCCAUACAAGAUUCAAACAUAGGUAAUAUCCACAGAACCAGUUGCCACCAGUGGAGACCACAGAGACCACAGGGUAGCUUGGACCAAAAUGCUCUUGAAGGCCAAAUGCUGAAGCCAGAGACCACAAACGAACAGAAUUAAACAGGUUUGUAUUGGGCACUGGUUUCAAAGAGUUCGGAGGGUUUACCGCCCAACUCCUCAUCAAUCUUAACCACAUUCAAGUUGGAGAGGAAAACGAACAUAGUGUGAAGACCUCUUUCAUAGGAAGGCAGUUUGCAGAGAUGAAACUAAUCACUCAAAACCAGUGGUCAGGACCAAUUUCCUUAGUAAGAAUAUACUGAUCUACUGGCGGAGGAUAAGAGUAUCACCAUUAAUUAAGAUGAAACAACCAUAAUACCCCUCACUAAAGCACCCACGGCAGGUAAACAGCCUUGUAAAUUGCCCCCUUGGGAGUGCUGGCCGUACCAGGUGCUUGCCUACUGGCAAGAAAUUAAGGAAAUCCAGACAGAGUCCGCCCUGCUGCUACCCAUUUCCUCUCGAACCUGGCAACUAGAAAGAGUCAUUCUGUUUUUUGCUACACAGGGACAAAUGAGAAUUAAUGAGUAGAAGUUGCAUGAAGGUAGAUUUUGGUUCAAGAUACAAGACAGAAUUUAAAAAACCUAGAGGUACCCAACAAUGAUGGUGUUACUGGUGUCACAGUUUUCAUUGGCAGUGUGAUCAUCACCUUAUUCUAUCAGGUGGAGAUGAGCAUUGAUUACAGUUGACACGGUUCUUCCAAGAGAGGCCCAGAAAUAGAUGAGAAUUGUUCUUAAGUCAAACUUGAGUCUGAAUCCCAAUGCUGUAGUUUCCUAGUUAUGAGACAUAGAGUUGGUUACUAAGCCUCUCUAAGCCUGAGUUUCUUCAUCCGUAAAAGAGAGACUGUUAUAACUACCUCUCUCCUGUUUAUUGAUUCAUUCAGCAGAUACUUAAAAGACAUCUACUGUGGGCCAGGCACUUGCCUAGGUGUUGAGGAUGUGGGGGUGAACAACACAGAUGAGGUCUCCAGUCUCAUGGAGUUCAUAUUUCCAUGUGUUUGAGAGGAAGAGAAAAGGUCCAAGGAGACAUAAAUAUAAUGAACUAACAAAUGCCUAAAUACUUACUGAGCUAGUAAUAAAUGCUGUGAGUUAAAUGAGACAGGCUGUCCAGGAUAUCGUUAUGAGGAGAGGCAAAGAAGUCUUCUCUUAGAAGGGGACAUACAUGCUGGAACCUAAAGGAGGAGACAGGGCCAACUCUGAGAAGCUCUAUCAGACGGAAUAGCAAGGGCCCUGUGGUUCCACCGAGCUGGACUCAUGUCUGGCGUAGGUUCGGGUUAGCGGUUCAAGAUGAGGUUGGUGGUAAGAAUUAAAGGAGGUAACGUGGGGAGUUCCUGCUGUGGUGCGACAAGAUUGGUGGCAUCUUGGGAGUGGUGGGACACAGGUUCA
RNAcentral lists this long non-coding RNA (1640 nucleotides) under Sus scrofa (pig). RNAcentral's name for it is "lncRNA (ENSSSCG00015033294.1)". Lineage: Eukaryota; Metazoa; Chordata; Mammalia; Artiodactyla; Suidae. The record is from RNAcentral.